This 467-nucleotide ribosomal RNA is filed under the name uncultured bacterium. RNAcentral describes it as "partial 16S ribosomal RNA". It matches the Rfam family "Bacterial small subunit ribosomal RNA", at positions 29 to 507 of the family's 1533-position model. The record is from RNAcentral.
ACGCACGCUGGCGGCUUGCUUAACCCCUGCACGUCGAACGGAAAGGCCCUGCUUUUGUGGGGUGCUCGAGUGGCGAACGGGUGAGUAACACGUGAGUAACCUGCCCUUGACUUUGGGAUAACUUCAGGAAACUGGGGCUAAUACCGGAUAGGAGCUCCUGCUGCAUGGUGGGGGUUGGAAAGUUUCGGCGGUUGGGGAUGGACUCGCGGCUUAUCAGCUUGUUGGUGGGGUAGUGGCUUACCAAGGCUUUGACGGGUAGCCGGCCUGAGAGGGUGACCGGCCACAUUGGGACUGAGAUACGGCCCAGACUCCUACGGGAGGCAGCAGUGGGGAAUAUUGCACAAUGGGCGGAAGCCUGAUGCAGCAACGCCGCGUGCGGGAUGACGGCCUUCGGGUUGUAAACCGCUUUCGCCUGUGACGAAGCGUGAGUGACGGUAAUGGGUAAAGAAGCACCGGCUAACUACGUG